CAUUCAUAGCUUCAUAUUGCAUUACGCCGUGGCCUUCAGAUACAUAAAAGUGAUAUAUGGCUGAACUUGGCAGGAAAAAAGAACACAGGAAACAAAUAUCUUUGACUGCCAGGGCCAGGGGCUGCUGGUGAAGUCUCAGCUUCACGCUGGGGUUGCGGCGGCUCCCCAGGUCUCCCGUGCUAACCUAAGCUACGCUACUCGUCAUCGCUCCGGGUGAAGGGAUGGAAAAGGGGAUGUACUAUGGCACAGUGGAUGGAUGGACAGGACUGUGGCGGCAAUGUUCCCACUACUGAGUUUACAAAGCUUGCCAAACGUGGAGAACUUCACAGAAAUCGAGAAGAAAAAGCUUCCUGGCUGGCUGGAUUUUCCAUUGCUUUCUCAGCUGUACCGUGGUGGCUCCUCUAAUUUAUUCUGCAACCAGAGGGGACAACUGCGCACAGCACAGGCAUGCGAGACAGGAGAGAGUCGCUGGCACAUAGCACCACAGCUGCUCUGGAACCUAAGGAAAAUUGAUUUUAGGUGAAAGGACCGGGUUCU
Long non-coding RNA from Pygoscelis adeliae (Adelie penguin), 537 nucleotides. RefSeq lists it as uncharacterized. The record is from RefSeq and is a predicted model, not a curated record. Lineage: Eukaryota; Metazoa; Chordata; Aves; Sphenisciformes; Spheniscidae. The transcript is spliced from 3 exons.